Cynara cardunculus var. scolymus (artichoke) is the source of this 86-nucleotide small nucleolar RNA. RefSeq annotates it as small nucleolar RNA SNORD24. Lineage: Eukaryota; Viridiplantae; Streptophyta; Magnoliopsida; Asterales; Asteraceae. The transcript has a single exon. The record is from RefSeq and is a predicted model, not a curated record.
UGCCAAUGAUGUUAGAAUGAUAUUUGCUACUGUUGAUGAGUCGAUGCUCAUUUGAUGAAUACUUAUCCACCAAGAUCUCUGAGGCA